AAUUGACAGUGAUGAUGAAUUUACAAUUUUAAAUGCCAGUUCUGCUUCAGAAAUUCUUGAUUGAUAGAGCUAUUUGUGAUCUGAGUGCAUC
Juglans regia (Persian walnut) is the source of this 91-nucleotide small nucleolar RNA. The record is from RefSeq and is a predicted model, not a curated record. NCBI's taxonomy places the organism in Eukaryota, Viridiplantae, Streptophyta, Magnoliopsida, Fagales, Juglandaceae.